UACGAAGGGGGCAAACGUUGCUCGGAAUUAUUGGGCGUAAAGCGCACGUAGGCGGCAUUGCAAGUCGGAUGUGAAAUCUUAUGGCUUAACCAUAAAAGUGCAUCCGAAACUGCAGUGCUUGAGUACUUAAGAGGAUCGCGGAAUUCCCGGUGUAGAGGUGAAAUUCGUAGAUAUCGGGAGGAACACCAGUGGCGAAGGCGGCGAUCUGGGAAGAUACUGACGCUGAGGUGCGAAAGCGUGGGGAGCAAACAGG
This 253-nucleotide ribosomal RNA is filed under the name uncultured bacterium. Its description in RNAcentral is "partial 16S ribosomal RNA". It matches the Rfam family "Bacterial small subunit ribosomal RNA", at positions 524 to 776 of the family's 1533-position model. The record is from RNAcentral.